This 724-nucleotide ribosomal RNA is filed under the name uncultured soil bacterium. RNAcentral's name for it is "bacterial SSU rRNA". It matches the Rfam family "Bacterial small subunit ribosomal RNA", at positions 30 to 751 of the family's 1533-position model. The record is from RNAcentral.
UGAACGCUGGCGGCAUGCCUUACACAUGCAAGUCGAACGGCAGCGCGGGGCAACCUGGCGGCGAGUGGCGAACGGGUGAGUAAUAUAUCGGAACGUACCCUGGAGUGGGGGAUAACGUAGCGAAAGUUACGCUAAUACCGCAUACGAUCUAAGGAUGAAAGUGGGGGAUCGCAAGACCUCAUGCUCCUGGAGCGGCCGAUAUCUGAUUAGCUAGUUGGUAGGGUAAAAGCCUACCAAGGCAUCGAUCAGUAGCUGGUCUGAGAGGACGACCAGCCACACUGGAACUGAGACACGGUCCAGACUCCUACGGGAGGCAGCAGUGGGGAAUUUUGGACAAUGGGCGAAAGCCUGAUCCAGCAAUGCCGCGUGAGUGAAGAAGGCCUUCGGGUUGUAAAGCUCUUUUGUCAGGGAAGAAACGGUGAGGGCUAAUAUCCCUUGCUAAUGACGGUACCUGAAGAAUAAGCACCGGCUAACUACGUGCCAGCAGCCGCGGUAAUACGUAGGGUGCAAGCGUUAAUCGGAAUUACUGGGCGUAAAGCGUGCGCAGGCGGUUUUGUAAGUCUGUCGUGAAAUCCCCGGGCUCAACCUGGGAAUGGCGAUGGAGACUGCAAGGCUAGAGUUUGGCAGAGGGGGGUAGAAUUCCACGUGUAGCAGUGAAAUGCGUAGAUAUGUGGAGGAACACCGAUGGCGAAGGCAGCCCCCUGGGUCAAGACUGACGCUGAGG